GUGGACGGAAGUUCUCCAAGCGUCUGGUGGACAUUAGAGAACUCAAUGAGCAGGCCAAAGUCAUUGACGAUCUCAAGAAACUGGGUGCAAGUGAAAGCACCAUUAACCAGGAAAUCCAGCGCUACCAGCAGUUGGAAUCUGUCGCUGUCAAUGAUAUCCGCCGAGAUGUGCGCAAGAAGCUGCGGCGCUCCAGCAUGCGGGCUGCAUCUUUGAAAGAUAAAUGGGGUUUAGG
This is a non-coding RNA of Pimephales promelas (fathead minnow), 232 nucleotides long. The record is from RefSeq and is a predicted model, not a curated record. Lineage: Eukaryota; Metazoa; Chordata; Actinopteri; Cypriniformes; Leuciscidae.